UGACCCAGGAAGCUCAGCUGCAAGCAAUUCACCUGUGCUUCCCACAUGACAAGAGCUCCCUGGGCUCAUUUAAAGGUUAGCCUCCAAAGUGCAAAUGUUUCCUGGAUAAAAACCUCUUCCUGAGAAAGAACAUUCUACAGCCAGAGACCUUCUUUGCCGGUUUGGAGCGUACAGCUGUCCAGUGGGACUUCAUUGCAGAAGGACACUCAGGAAAGCUCAGACUUUGAUAAAGGACAGAUACUUCAUGACUACUUGAGCUACAUAAGAUAAGCACAUCAGAAAAGAAAGGAGUUAGUUAUAGACUGCGAAGAACAUGACAGUUCCUGCCCUCAGGCAAUUCAGCCUGCUGCUUCAAAAUCAUCACCAGCAGCAGAAUCAUGCCCUUUUUUGUCCAGCCCAUGCUUCAGAGUGCAAGGGACAGCACCUUUCACUGGAGAUAUACUGUGGAAGGACAUGCAGGUACAACAGAGGCCAGACAGGUAGGACAAGUAAUAGCUUUUAUUAGACUGCCCUAUUUAGUCAGGAAAACUGGAUAAACUGUUGGGUUUUCAUCAACCCCAAACUAACUGUUGGAACGAAUGGCUGUACAAACCUCCAUGUCCUGGCACCUUUUUAUACAUUCUUCUGAGAAUUUUGCUUUAGAAAGCUAGAAAGAGAAACUACAUGGGGAAAAUCUCCUGC
Long non-coding RNA from Coturnix japonica (Japanese quail), 681 nucleotides. RefSeq lists it as uncharacterized. NCBI's taxonomy places the organism in Eukaryota, Metazoa, Chordata, Aves, Galliformes, Phasianidae. The record is from RefSeq and is a predicted model, not a curated record.